Long non-coding RNA from Varroa destructor (honeybee mite), 1036 nucleotides. RefSeq lists it as uncharacterized. Lineage: Eukaryota; Metazoa; Arthropoda; Arachnida; Mesostigmata; Varroidae. The record is from RefSeq and is a predicted model, not a curated record.
GAAGCAGAGUGUCAAUCAGCUGCAAAAUUGCAAUCUUGAUCAUUUCAUAUGCAUUGAUACGCCUAUGGACGAUGUCUUUCACAACGCUUUAUUUUGCAGUUUUUCAAGAACGUACAAACGAAUUAAACUCGACUGUAGAUUCAUCCCCAUUUGCCUCCGUGUCCCCCACGGGUUAGGAUUUCCCUGCAAUUCGUCUGUCCGUGAAGCAGACUCUCUGGGUUUUCCUUUGGAACUGCAGGGCCAAGAGAUGCUGAAAAGACAUUGCGACCGCAAAGCUAACGAGGAGUACAGUUGACGCACACAGGAUUCCUUGGGAUUUUUACGACGCUGCUGCGACAAGCAGAGGCUUAUGGUGUUAGCUAGUGGCUAAGGCGGCGAUAGCAGCAGCGCGAAUGUCAGAUCGACUCAUGAAGACUUGACGCGUCACCCACGAUGAGUCAACUCGUGCUUGAAAGCGUCCUAAAGCUACAGCCGAGGCUGUAUCGGCGUGUUGUGCCAAGGCGAAGGUUGGACACAGCGAGAAGAGGCGCGACGAGCGAACGUAGGACUUAGUUGGACAAGCGAGCACUGCAGAUCAAGGCGAGCUGCGAUGGAAAAGAAGCGAGCAAAGGAGCAGAUCAAAUAACGCAGAUUAUUAUUAACCAAGAGCAGAUUAAAAGUUCUCGCGCCAGGAAGUCGAGACCGGAAGCAGUCGAGCAGACGACGCGCGCGCCUUCGGCCAUCCACAGAGCGGCCGUGUUUGUCCGUGUGUAUGUUUCUGUUUGCCCUUUUUUACGGAACAUUAACUUUGCAUAUCCUCUACUUCGCCCGAGGGCAGCUACUACUACAGCGACCGACAGUACUGCUUCUGUCGCUACCUUCACAAGAACCACAGCCGCCGCGACCGAUUCCUCUCGCUGCAUCCGUCCAAAACCGACAUUCGUAUCGCCGCAAACGUGCGACUAAGCAAACCGUGACACUGUGCAUUUCGUCGUCCUAUUCGUCCUCACGCUCGAUGCCUAGAGGGUAAGGAGCGGCUUGCGUACGAGCCUGUAAA